This 449-nucleotide unclassified non-coding RNA is filed under the name Hevea brasiliensis (rubber tree). Lineage: Eukaryota; Viridiplantae; Streptophyta; Magnoliopsida; Malpighiales; Euphorbiaceae. The record is from RNAcentral.
CCUAAAACUAUGAAGGAAAGAGAAAAAUACAAAUCAACUCCUUCCAGCGCACGUAUAUACAAACAUAAAGUUGGUAACACAGACAACGCUGGAUAUCACAGAGAAAGAGAACUUAGUGUUUUUCGUUUAUUUACUCUUCAUUCACAAGCACCAUAAAACCUUUAUACGGAUGUGAUUGUUGAGCUACUAAAGAUGGGAACUCCAGCAAAUAAAUUGAUGAGGAGAGCAUUACAACCAAGGAAAGAGAGUGCUAGUGUCUGGAAGACGGAAGAAAGUAUUACAGCCAGUCAGUGUCCAGAGUCUCUGUGAUAUAAACGCCCUGUAAGCUUCAUCCUUUUCAACCAUAGCCUCCACCACAUCAAAAUCGAGUCCAACGUUUCCCAGAUGCAACCAAUGGGCUCAGUCAGAUCCAGCACUGCUAGGCGCUCUGACACAUCAGCUAAUGAUUU